Molecule: long non-coding RNA, 406 nt
Organism: Alligator mississippiensis (American alligator)
Lineage: Eukaryota; Metazoa; Chordata; Crocodylia; Alligatoridae
Exons: 2
Source: RefSeq, a predicted model, not a curated record
CCUGGCUCCUAUAUAAACCACAGGCAGGAGGUCAGGCAGCAGUUCUCUACCAGCAGCCCAGGAGGAGAGAGCUCUUGUUCAUGUUAUAAAGGAGAGGCCUGAGGAAGGAGCUGCAUCUUAUACUGCAGAGAGAGAAAGGAUCCCUGGUGCACUCUUGAAGGAUCUGGAUUUCUCUUGGAUGAAACAAGCAACUAACAACCAAAGAUCAGAGUAAGAGUAGACAUAGUUAAGCCCCUUCUGGUGGCCAUGUUACAGUUUUUUGACCCUUUUCACUGUAGCUGAAAUCAUGGAGGUUUCUGUCCCAAGUUUGGAGGUCAAGAAUUCCUCUGUUGAUUGGAAGGACAAUUCUUACAGGCCCUGAUGCCAAUAAAGUAUGGAACAGUCCGUGCAAGUUUAUUGUAUCUAG